Molecule: ribosomal RNA, 730 nt
Filed under: uncultured bacterium
Lineage: Bacteria
Description: bacterial SSU rRNA
Rfam family: Bacterial small subunit ribosomal RNA
Source: RNAcentral
UCGAGGGGCAGCGGAUCCCUCCGGGGAUGCCGGCGACCGGCGAACGGGUGAGUAACACGUAUGGAACCUACCCUUAACUGGGGAAUAGCCUUGAGAAAUCGAGGGUAAUACCCCAUAUCAUCUGAAAGAGGCAUCUCUUUCAGAUGAAAGCUCCGGCGGUUAAGGAUGGCCAUGCGGUCCAUUAGCUUGUUGGUGAGAUAACCGCUCACCAAGGCUACGAUGGAUAGCUGAUCUGAGAGGAUGAUCAGCCACAUUGGCACUGAGACACGGGCCAAACUCCUACGGGAGGCAGCAGUAGGGAAUCUUGGUCAAUUGGCGAAAGCCAGAACCAGUCAUGCCGCGUGCAGGAUGAAGGCCCUAUGGGUCGUAAACUGCUUUUAUUCGGGAAGAAAAAGUCUGUUUCCACAGACCUUGACGGUACCGAUUGAAUAAGGACCGGCCAACUCCGUGCCAGCAGCCGCGGUAAUACGGAGGGUCCAAGCGUUAUCCGGAUUCACUGGGUUUAAAGGGUGCGCAGGCGGCCAAGUAAGUCAGUGGUGAAAGCCUUCGGCUCAACCGGAGAAUUGCCAUUGAAACUACUUGGCUUGAGUGCAGCAGAGGUAGGCGGAAUGUAGCAUGUAGCGGUGAAAUGCAUAGAUAUGCUACAGAACACCGAUAGCGAAAGCAGCUUACCACACUGUAACUGACGCUGAGGCACGAAAGCAUGGGUAGCAAACAGGAUUAGAUACCC